Molecule: ribosomal RNA, 1428 nt
Filed under: Microbacterium laevaniformans
Lineage: Bacteria; Bacillati; Actinomycetota; Actinomycetes; Micrococcales; Microbacteriaceae
Description: bacterial SSU rRNA
Rfam family: Bacterial small subunit ribosomal RNA
Source: RNAcentral
GGGGGCUGCGGCGUGCUACCAUGCAGUCGAACGGUGAAGCCCAGCUUGCUGGGUGGAUCAGUGGCGAACGGGUGAGUAACACGUGAGCAAUCUGCCCCUGACUCUGGGAUAAGCGCUGGAAACGGCGUCUAAUACUGGAUACGAACCGUGGAGGCAUCUUCAACGGUUGGAAAGAUUUUUUGGUCAGGGAUGAGCUCGCGGCCUAUCAGCUUGUUGGUGAGGUAAUGGCUCACCAAGGCGUCGACGGGUAGCCGGCCUGAGAGGGUGACCGGCCACACUGGGACUGAGACACGGCCCAGACUCCUACGGGAGGCAGCAGUGGGGAAUAUUGCACAAUGGGCGAAAGCCUGAUGCAGCAACGCCGCGUGAGGGAUGACGGCCUUCGGGUUGUAAACCUCUUUUAGCAGGGAAGAAGCGAAAGUGACGGUACCUGCAGAAAAAGCGCCGGCUAACUACGUGCCAGCAGCCGCGGUAAUACGUAGGGCGCAAGCGUUAUCCGGAAUUAUUGGGCGUAAAGAGCUCGUAGGCGGUUUGUCGCGUCUGCUGUGAAAUCCCGAGGCUCAACUUCGGGUCUGCAGUGGGUACGGGCAGACUAGAGUGCGGUAGGGGAGAUUGGAAUUCCUGGUGUAGCGGUGGAAUGCGCAGAUAUCAGGAGGAACACCGAUGGCGAAGGCAGAUCUCUGGGCCGUAACUGACGCUGAGGAGCGAAAGGGUGGGGAGCAAACAGGCUUAGAUACCCUGGUAGUCCACCCCGUAAACGUUGGGAACUAGUUGUGGGGUCCAUUCCACGGAUUCCGUGACGCAGCUAACGCAUUAAGUUCCCCGCCUGGGGAGUACGGCCGCAAGGCUAAAACUCAAAGGAAUUGACGGGGACCCGCACAAGCGGCGGAGCAUGCGGAUUAAUUCGAUGCAACGCGAAGAACCUUACCAAGGCUUGACAUAUACGAGAACGCUGCAGAAAUGUAGAACUCUUUGGACACUCGUAAACAGGUGGUGCAUGGUUGUCGUCAGCUCGUGUCGUGAGAUGUUGGGUUAAGUCCCGCAACGAGCGCAACCCUCGUUCUAUGUUGCCAGCACGUAAUGGUGGGAACUCAUGGGAUACUGCCGGGGUCAACUCGGAGGAAGGUGGGGAUGACGUCAAAUCAUCAUGCCCCUUAUGUCUUGGGCUUCACGCAUGCUACAAUGGCCGGUACAAAGGGCUGCAAUACCGUGAGGUGGAGCGAAUCCCAAAAAGCCGGUCCCAGUUCGGAUUGAGGUCUGCAACUCGACCUCAUGAAGUCGGAGUCGCUAGUAAUCGCAGAUCAGCAACGCUGCGGUGAAUACGUUCCCGGGUCUUGUACACACCGCCCGUCAAGUCAUGAAAGUCGGUAACACCUGAAGCCGGUGGCCCAACCCUUGUGGAGGGAGCCGUCGAAGGUGCAUCGAUAU